RNAcentral lists this ribosomal RNA (502 nucleotides) under uncultured soil bacterium. RNAcentral's name for it is "bacterial SSU rRNA". It matches the Rfam family "Bacterial small subunit ribosomal RNA", at positions 8 to 524 of the family's 1533-position model. The record is from RNAcentral.
AGAGUUUGAUCCUGGCUCAGGACGAACGCUGGCGGCGUGCUUAACACAUGCAAGUCGAACGGAAAGGCCCGCUUGCGGGUACUCGAGUGGCGAACGGGUGAGUAACACGUGGGCAACCUGCCCUCAGCUCUGGGAUAACUCCGGGAAACCGGUGCUAAUACUGGAUAUCGACUUCUGCCUCGCAUGGGGUGUUGUUGAAAGUUUUUCGGCUGGGGAUGGGCCCGCGGCCUAUCAGCUUGUUGGUGGGGUGAUGGCCUACCAAGGCAACGACGGGUAGCCGGCCUGAGAGGGCGACCGGCCACACUGGGACUGAGACACGGCCCAGACUCCUACGGGAGGCAGCAGUGGGGAAUAUUGCGCAAUGGGCGGAAGCCUGACGCAGCGACGCCGCGUGAGGGAUGACGGCCUUCGGGUUGUAAACCUCUUUCAGCUCUGACGAAGCGAGAGUGACGGUAGGAGCAGAAGAAGCACCGGCCAACUACGUGCCAGCAGCCGCGGUAAU